Molecule: ribosomal RNA, 253 nt
Filed under: uncultured prokaryote
Description: partial 16S ribosomal RNA
Rfam family: Bacterial small subunit ribosomal RNA
Source: RNAcentral
ACGAAGGGGGCUAGCGUUGUUCAGAAUUACUGGGCGUAAAGCGCACGUAGGCGGACUAUUAAGUCAGGGGUGAAAUCCCGGGGCUCAACCCCGGAACUGCCUUUGAUACUGGUGGUCUGGAGUCCGGAAGAGGUGAGUGGAAUUCCGAGUGUAGAGGUGAAAUUCGUAGAUAUUCGGAGGAACACCAGUGGCGAAGGCAAUCCCCUGGGCCUGCACUGACGCUCAUGCACGAAAGCGUGGGGAGCAAACAGGA